CCUAACCUCAAGCCGUCUGCCAGGCGUGGCCUCCUAAAGUGCUGGGAUUACAGGCAUCCGUCUCCGCGUUCUGCAGCACAGCUGAGAUUUGCAUGAGUCUCCAGGUGGCUUCUCAGGGUUGGCAGAACUGAGCACAGGAAAGGAGCACUUUACAUGGCAGCAGAAGGAGGUCAGCGCUCCCCCCACUUCUCCAGCGCCGCGUGCGGAGAGACAAAGAAAUUGAUUUUCCAAUCGAUGCUCUGAGCAAUGAUUAAAUGUUCUCUGCACAGCGGGCCUAAUGAGUCCCCAAGGGGCGUGCCGGCCCUUUAAUUAGAGACUCCCACGGGGGCCUGGGAUGGGGGCUGCCCUGGAGUGAGGGGGUCCAGCCAGGGAGGAGGCCCCAUCCCCAGGAAUCGGUGGCCUGGGCCUCUGAGAGAUACUGUUUGGGGGCCCCUGGGCAUAGAGACCCAGCGGAGGGGUCCCUAGGCAGCGGAACCCCAUAGAGUAGCUCCCGGGCUGAGAGGUCCCUUGGAGAGGCCCCUGAGCUGAGCCCUAGAGGAAGAACCUGGGCUACAAGGAUGGAGGCUGGAGGCCCCCGAGUGAAUGCACAGAUUUACCCACCAUCCAGGCAGCCAGCAGUCCUUUCCGUCAGUUCAGCUCCCCCAUCUGCGGCGGCGGCGGCGGAGACCCAGACAGGAAAUGAAUCCCCUCUAAGCGGCUGCUGCGUUCUCCUCACCCAGCUGCCCCAUUGGAGAAGCCGACUGAAGACUUUAGAAAUUCAAAUGAGGCUCUCGGGGGAGAGCGAGUCUUAAACAUUCCCCCUGCGCAGGCGGCUUUAUUGAAGGAAUAAACUAUAUUUGCAAAGUAA
This is a long non-coding RNA of Nomascus leucogenys (northern white-cheeked gibbon), 847 nucleotides long. RefSeq lists it as uncharacterized. The record is from RefSeq and is a predicted model, not a curated record. The transcript has 3 exons. Lineage: Eukaryota; Metazoa; Chordata; Mammalia; Primates; Hylobatidae.